GAAAUGCGAUAAGUAAUGUGAAUUGCAGAAUUCCGUGAAUCAUCGAAUCUUUGAACGCACAUUGCGCCCUCUGGUAUUCCGGGGGGCAUGCCUGUCCGAGCGUCAUUGCACACCCUCAAGCGCGGCUUGUGUGUUGGGCCCCCGCGUCCUUGCCAUUUAAAGGACGGGCCCGAAAGGCAGUGGCGGCGUCGCGGUUAUCCGAUCAGCCAGAGCGUAUGGGGACUCUGUUCACACGCCCGCGGCGCGGACCGACGCCUGUCGACCUUUAUUCAUCUUCUCUCGGUUGACCUCGGAUCAGGUAGGGAUACCCGCUGAACUUAAGC
RNAcentral lists this unclassified non-coding RNA (323 nucleotides) under plant metagenome. Its description in RNAcentral is "partial contains 5.8S ribosomal RNA, internal transcribed spacer 2, and large subunit ribosomal RNA". The stretch from base 1 to 105 matches the Rfam family "5.8S ribosomal RNA", at positions 50 to 154 of the family's 154-position model. The record is from RNAcentral.